RNAcentral lists this ribosomal RNA (465 nucleotides) under uncultured bacterium. RNAcentral describes it as "partial 16S ribosomal RNA". It matches the Rfam family "Bacterial small subunit ribosomal RNA", at positions 338 to 795 of the family's 1533-position model. The record is from RNAcentral.
CCUACGGGGGGCAGCAGUAGGGAAUCUUCCACAAUGGGCGAAAGCCUGAUGGAGCAACGCCGCGUGGGUGAAGAAGGUCUUCGGAUCGUAAAACCCUGUUGUUAGAGAAGAAAGUGCGUGCGAGUAACUGUUCACGUUUCGACGGUAUCUAACCAGAAAGCCACGGCUAACUACGUGCCAGAAGCCGCGGGAAUACGUAGGUGGCAAGCGUUAUCCGGUUUUAUUGGGCGUAAAGGGAACGCAGGCGGUCUUUUAAGUCUGAUGUGAAAGCCUUCGGCUUAACCGGAGUAGUGCAUUGGAAACUGGGAGACGUGAGUGCAGAAGAGGAGAGUGGAACUCCAUGUGUAGCGGUGAAAUGCGUAGAUAUAUGGAAGAACACCAGUGGCGAAGGCGGCUCUCUGGUCUGUAACUGACGCUGAGGUUCGAAAGCGUGGGUAGCAAACAGGAUUAGAUACCCCAGUAGUC